UAUAUUGAAUGGCAUCAUUCGAUAUUGAAAACUCCGGUGGAUAGAGAUGGGCACGCGCAAGAUUAGAUAGUUGGUGAGGUAACGGCUCACCAAGUCUGCGAUCUUUAGGGGGCCUGAGAGGGUGAUCCCCCACACUGGUACUGAGACACGGACCAGACUCCUACGGGAGGCAGCAGUGAGGAAUAUUGGACAAUGGGUGAGAGCCUGAUCCAGCCAUCCCGCGUGAAGGACGACGGCCCUAUGGGUUGUAAACUUCUUUUGUAUAGGGAUAAACCUAGAUACGUGUAUCUAGCUGAAGGUACUAUACGAAUAAGCACCGGCUAACUCCGUGCCAGCAGCCGCGGUAAUACGGAGGGUGCAANNCGUUAUCCGGAUUUAUUGGGUUUAAAGGGUCCGUAGGCGGAUCUGUAAGUCAGUGGUGAAAUCUCACAGCUUAACUGUGAAACUGCCAUUGAUACUGCAGGUCUUGAGUGUUGUUGAAGUAGCUGGAAUAAGUAGUGUAGCGGUGAAAUGCAUAGAUAUUACUUAGAACACCAAUUGCGAAGGCMRGGUUACUAAGNCAACAACUGACGCUGAUGGACGAAAGCGUGGGGAGCGAACAGGGAUUAGAUACCCUGGGUAGUCCACGCCGUAAACGAUGCUAACUCGUUUUUUGGGAAUUUAGGUUUCAGAGACUAAGCGAAAGUGAUAAGUUAGCCACCUGGGGAGUACGUUCGCAAGAAUGAAACUCAAAGGAAUUGACGGGGGCCCGCACAAGCGGUGGAUUAUGUGGUUUAAUUCGAUGAUACGCGAGGAACCUUACCAAGGCUUAAAUGGGAAAUGACAGGUUUAGAAAUAGACUUUUCUUCGGACAUUUUUCAAGGUGCUGCAUGGUUGUCGUCAGCUCGUGCCGUGAGGUGUUAGGUUAAGUCCUGCAACGAGCGCAACCCCUGUCACUAGUUGCCAUCAUUAAGUUGGGGACUCUAGUGAGACUGCCUACGCAAGUAGAGAGGAAGGUGGGGAUGACGUCAAAUCAUCACGGCCCUUACGCCUUGGGCCACACACGUAAUACAAUGGCCAGUACAGAGGGCAGCUACACAGCGAUGUGAUGCAAAUCUCGAAAGCUGGUCUCAGUUCGGAUUGGAGUCUGCAA
RNAcentral lists this ribosomal RNA (1132 nucleotides) under Chryseobacterium sp. MYb320. RNAcentral describes it as "bacterial SSU rRNA". Lineage: Bacteria; Pseudomonadati; Bacteroidota; Flavobacteriia; Flavobacteriales; Weeksellaceae. The record is from RNAcentral.